This 61-nucleotide non-coding RNA is filed under the name Listeria aquatica. RNAcentral's name for it is "Fluoride sequence". It matches the Rfam family "Fluoride riboswitch aptamer (crcB RNA motif)". The record is from RNAcentral. Lineage: Bacteria; Bacillati; Bacillota; Bacilli; Caryophanales; Listeriaceae.
UACUGAAAAGGUGAUGGAGUUCGCCUAAAAUGUGAUAUUCGCUGAUGACUCCUAUUUAAAU